GGGUUGUGAGGUUAAGCGACUAAGCGUACACGGUGGAUGCCCUGGCAGUCAGAGGCGAUGAAGGGCGUGCUAAUCUGCGAUAAGCGCCGGUAAGGUGAUAUGAACCGUUAUAACCGGCGAUACCCGAAUGGGGAAACCCAGUGUGACUCGUCACACUAUCAUUAACUGAAUCCAUAGGUUAAUGAGGCGAACCGGGGGAACUGAAACAUCUAAGUACCCCGAGGAAAAGAAAUCAACCGAGAUUCCCCCAGUAGCGGCGAGCGAACGGGGAGGAGCCCAGAGCCUGAAUCAGCAUGUGUGUUAGUGGAAGCGUCUGGAAAGGCGCGCGAUACAGGGUGACAGCCCCGUACACAAAAGCGCAUGUGCUGUGAGCUCGAUGAGUAGGGCGGGACACGUGGUAUCCUGUCUGAAUAUGGGGGGACCAUCCUCCAAGGCUAAAUACUCCUGACUGACCGAUAGUGAACCAGUACCGUGAGGGAAAGGCGAAAAGAACCCCGGCGAGGGGAGUGAAAAAGAACCUGAAACCGUGUACGUACAAGCAGUGGGAGCNNNNNNNNNNNNNNNNNNNNNNNNNNNNNNNGGGCGUUAAGUUGCAGGGUAUAGACCCGAAACCCGGUGAUCUAGCCAUGGGCAGGUUGAAGGUUGGGUAACACUAACUGGAGGACCGAACCGACUAAUGUUGAAAAAUUAGCGGAUGACCUGUGGCUGGGGGUGAAAGGCCAAUCAAACCGGGAGAUAGCUGGUUCUCCCCGAAAGCUAUUUAGGUAGCGCCUCGUGAAUUCAUCUCCGGGGGUAGAGCACUGUUUCGGCUAGGGGGCCAUCCCGGCUUACCAACCCGAUGCAAACUGCGAAUACCGGAGAAUGUUAUCACGGGAGACACACGGCGGGUGCUAACGUCCGUCGUGAAGAGGGAAACAACCCAGACCGCCAGCUAAGGUCCCAAAGUCAUGGUUAAGUGGGAAACGAUGUGGGAAGGCCCAGACAGCCAGGAUGUUGGCUUAGAAGCAGCCAUCAUUUAAAGAAAGCGUAAUAGCUCACUGGUCGAGUCGGCCUGCGCGGAAGAUGUAACGGGGCUAAACCAUGCACCGAAGCUGCGGCAGCGANNUGCUGGAGGUAUCAGAAGUGCGAAUGCUGACAUAAGUAACGAUAAAGCGGGUGAAAAGCCCGCUCGCCGGAAGACCAAGGGUUCCUGUCCAACGUUAAUCGGGGCAGGGUGAGUCGACCCCUAAGGCGAGGCCGAAAGGCGUAGUCGAUGGGAAACGGGUUAAUAUUCCCGUACUUGGUGUUACUGCGAAGGGGGGACGGAGAAGGCUAUGUUGGCCGGGCGACGGUUGUCCCGGUUUAAGCGUGUAGGUGUGUGUUCCAGGUAAAUCCGGUUCACUUUAACACUGAGGCGUGACGACGAGGCACUACGGUGCUGAAGCAACAAAUGCCCUGCUUCCAGGAAAAGCCUCUAAGCAUCAGGUAACAUCAAAUCGUACCCCAAACCGACACAGGUGGUCAGGUAGAGAAUACCAAGGCGCUUGAGAGAACUCGGGUGAAGGAACUAGGCAAAAUGGUGCCGUAACUUCGGGAGAAGGCACGCUGACACGUAGGUGAAGUGAUUUACUCAUGGAGCUGAAGUCAGUCGAAGAUACCAGCUGGCUGCAACUGUUUAUUAAAAACACAGCACUGUGCAAACACGAAAGUGGACGUAUACGGUGUGACGCCUGCCCGGUGCCGGAAGGUUAAUUGAUGGGGUCAGCGCAAGCGAAGCUCCUGAUCGAAGCCCCGGUAAACGGCGGCCGUAACUAUAACGGUCCUAAGGUAGCGAAAUUCCUUGUCGGGUAAGUUCCGACCUGCACGAAUGGCGUAAUGAUGGCCAGGCUGUCUCCACCCGAGACUCAGUGAAAUUGAACUCGCUGUGAAGAUGCAGUGUACCCGCGGCAAGACGGAAAGACCCCGUGAACCUUUACUAUAGCUUGACACUGAACAUUGAGCCUUGAUGUGUAGGAUAGGUGGGAGGCUUUGAAGUGUGGACGCCAGUCUGCAUGGAGCCGACCUUGAAAUACCACCCUUUAAUGUUUGAUGUUCUAACGUGGACCCGUUACCCGGGUUGCGGACAGUGUCUGGUGGGUAGUUUGACUGGGGCGGUCUCCUCCUAAAGAGUAACGGAGGAGCACGAAGGUUGGCUAAUCCUGGUCGGACAUCAGGAGGUUAGUGCAAUGGCAUAAGCCAGCUUGACUGCGAGCGUGACGGCGCGAGCAGGUGCGAAAGCAGGUCAUAGUGAUCCGGUGGUUCUGAAUGGAAGGGCCAUCGCUCAACGGAUAAAAGGUACUCCGGGGAUAACAGGCUGAUACCGCCCAAGAGUUCAUAUCGACGGCGGUGUUUGGCACCUCGAUGUCGGCUCAUCACAUCCUGGGGCUGAAGUAGGUCCCAAGGGUAUGGCUGUUCGCCAUUUAAAGUGGUACGCGAGCUGGGUUUAGAACGUCGUGAGACAGUUCGGUCCCUAUCUGCCGUGGGCGCUGGAGAACUGAGGGGGGCUGCUCCUAGUACGAGAGGACCGGAGUGGACGCAUCACUGGUGUUCGGGUUGUCAUGCCAAUGGCACUGCCCGGUAGCUAAAUGCGGAAGAGAUAAGUGCUGAAAGCAUCUAAGCACGAAACUUGCCCCGAGAUGAGUUCUCCCUGAGACUUAGAGUCUCCUGAAGGAACGUUGAAGACGACGACGUUGAUAGGCCGGGUGUGUAAGCGCAGCGAUGCGUUGAGCUAACCGGUACUAAUGAACCGUGAGGCUUAACCUUACAACGCCGAAG
Molecule: ribosomal RNA, 2793 nt
Filed under: Salmonella enterica subsp. enterica serovar Heidelberg
Lineage: Bacteria; Pseudomonadati; Pseudomonadota; Gammaproteobacteria; Enterobacterales; Enterobacteriaceae
Also listed under: 1 other name
Description: 23S ribosomal RNA
Rfam family: Bacterial large subunit ribosomal RNA
Source: RNAcentral